Molecule: ribosomal RNA, 448 nt
Filed under: uncultured bacterium
Lineage: Bacteria
Description: bacterial SSU rRNA
Rfam family: Bacterial small subunit ribosomal RNA
Source: RNAcentral
UCACCAGACUCCUACGGGAGGCAGCAGUGGGGAAUAUUGCACAAUGGGGGAAACCCUGAUGCAGCGACGCCGCGUGAGUGAAGAAGUAUUUCGGUAUGUAAAGCUCUAUCAGCAGGGAAGAAAAUGACGGUACCUGAGUAAGAAGCCCCGGCUAACUACGUGCCAGCAGCCGCGGUAAUACGUAGGGGGCAAGCGUUAUCCGGAUUUACUGGGUGUAAAGGGUGCGUAGGUGGCAUGACAAGUCAGAAGUGAAAGCCCGGGGCUCAACCCCGCGGACUGCUUUUGAAACUGUCAGGCUGGAGUACAGGAGAGGUAAGCGGAAUUCCUAGUGUAGCGGUGAAAUGCGUAGAUAUUAGGAGGAACACCAGUGGCGAAGGCGGCUUACUGGACUGUAACUGACACUGGGGCACGAAAGCGCGGGGAGCAAACAGGAUUAGAUACCCUCGUA